Molecule: non-coding RNA, 72 nt
Organism: Homarus americanus (American lobster)
Lineage: Eukaryota; Metazoa; Arthropoda; Malacostraca; Decapoda; Nephropidae
Source: the annotation of a RefSeq genome assembly
GGUCCUAUGGUGUAAUGGUUAGCACUCUGGACUUUGAAUCCAGCGAUCCGAGUUCGAGUCUCGGUAGGACCU